Long non-coding RNA from Cornus florida, 275 nucleotides. RefSeq lists it as uncharacterized. NCBI's taxonomy places the organism in Eukaryota, Viridiplantae, Streptophyta, Magnoliopsida, Cornales, Cornaceae. The transcript is spliced from 3 exons. The record is from RefSeq and is a predicted model, not a curated record.
CUACAGCUGUGAACUGUGUGCAAUGCCAUCCAUCUGAUUGCAUUGUUGCUACCAGUGGGACAGAUGGUUUGGUAAAGAUUUGGACACCAAGUGCUUCUGCCCCCCAUCCCUUCUAACUCCGGAAUGAGCCCAAGCCCAAAUUAUGAGAUUUAUGUCCGAUUGAAGCACUUUGAUAUUGAAGUUGAGGACGAGAAAUUCAAUUCUAGAUAGUUGCUCGUAAAGAUUACUAGAUUUUUGUCUCUAACCAUUACUUGUACCAACUGCUUGAAAAUAUC